AGAAUCAACGCUGGCGGCGUGCCUAACACAUGCAAGUCGAACGCGAAAGUCCCGCAAGGGGCAAGUAGAGUGGCAAACGGGUGAGUAACACGUGGGUGACCUGCCUCCGAGUGGGGGAUAACGUCCCGAAAGGGACGCUAAUACCGCAUAACAUCCUGCCUUUGGAAAGGCGGAGAUCAAAGCUGGGGAUCGCAAGACCUGGCGCUUGAAGAGGGGCCCGCGCCUGAUUAGCUAGUUGGUGAGGUAACGGCUCACCAAGGCGACGAUC
This 268-nucleotide ribosomal RNA is filed under the name uncultured soil bacterium. Its description in RNAcentral is "partial 16S ribosomal RNA". It matches the Rfam family "Bacterial small subunit ribosomal RNA", at positions 26 to 281 of the family's 1533-position model. The record is from RNAcentral.